RNAcentral lists this ribosomal RNA (253 nucleotides) under uncultured bacterium. Its description in RNAcentral is "partial 16S ribosomal RNA". It matches the Rfam family "Bacterial small subunit ribosomal RNA", at positions 524 to 776 of the family's 1533-position model. The record is from RNAcentral.
UACGUAGGUGGCGAGCGUUGUCCGGAAUUACUGGGCGUAAAGGGCGCGUAGGUGGCCUGUUAAGUCGAACGUGAAAUCCCCGGGCUCAACCCGGGAACUACGUCCGAGACUGGCAGGCUCGAAUCCGGGAGAGGGAUGUGGAAUUCCAGGUGUAGCGGUGAAAUGCGUAGAUAUCUGGUGGAACACCGGUGGCGAAGGCGGCAUCCUGGACCGGUAUUGACGCUGAGGCGCGAAAGCCAGGGGAGCAAACGGG